RNAcentral lists this ribosomal RNA (494 nucleotides) under uncultured bacterium. RNAcentral's name for it is "bacterial SSU rRNA". It matches the Rfam family "Bacterial small subunit ribosomal RNA", at positions 29 to 516 of the family's 1533-position model. The record is from RNAcentral.
AUUGAACGCUGGCGGCAUGCCUUACACAUGCAAGUCGAACGGUAACAGGUCUUCGGAUGCUGACGAGUGGCGAACGGGUGAGUAAUACAUCGGAACGUGCCCGAUCGUGGGGGGAUAACGCAGCGAAAGCUGUGCUAAUACCGCAUACGAUCUACGGAUGAAAGCGGGGGAUCGCAAGACCUCGCGCGGACGGAGCGGCCGAUGGCAGAUUAGGUAGUUGGUGGGAUAAAAGCUUACCAAGCCGACGAUCUGUAGCUGGUCUGAGAGGACGACCAGCCACACUGGGACUGAGACACGGCCCAGACUCCUACGGGAGGCAGCAGUGGGGAAUUUUGGACAAUGGGCGCAAGCCUGAUCCAGCCAUGCCGCGUGAGUGAAGAAGGCCUUCGGGUUGUAAAGCUCUUUCGGUGGGGAAGGAAAUGGCACGAGCGAAUAACUGGUGUCGAUGACGGUACCCGAAAGAAGAAGCACCGGCUAACUACGUGCCAGCACGG